RNAcentral lists this ribosomal RNA (137 nucleotides) under uncultured eukaryote. RNAcentral's name for it is "partial 18S ribosomal RNA". It matches the Rfam family "Eukaryotic small subunit ribosomal RNA", at positions 1299 to 1458 of the family's 1831-position model. The record is from RNAcentral.
UGGUGGAGUGAUUUGUCUGGUUAAUUCCGUUAACGAACGAGACCUUAUCCUGCUAAAUAGUUGCGCUAACUUUGGUUGGCGAAAACUUCUUAGAGGGACUAUUGAUGACUAAUCAAUGGAAGUUUGAGGCAAUAACA